AGAGUUUGAUCCUGGCUCAGGACGAACGCUGGCGGCGUACCUAACACAUGCAAGUCGAGCGAUGAAGUUUCCUUCGGGAAACGGAUUAGCGGCGGACGGGUGAGUAACACGUGGGUAACCUGCCUUGUAGAGGGGGAUAGCCUUCCGAAAGGAAGAUUAAUACCGCAUAAGAUUGUAGUUUCGCAUGAAACAGCAAUUAAAGGAGCAAUCCGCUACAAGAUGGACCCGCGGCGCAUUAGCUAGUUGGUGAGGUAACGGCUCACCAAGGCGACGAUGCGUAGCCGACCUGAGAGGGUGAUCGGCCACAUUGGGACUGAGACACGGCCCAAACUCCUACGGGAGGCAGCAGUGGGGAAUAUUGCACAAUGGGGGAAACCCUGAUGCAGCAACGCCGCGUGAGUGAUGACGGCCUUCGGGUUGUAAAGCUCUGUCUUUGGGGACGAUAAUGACGGUACCCAAGGAGGAAGCCACGGCUAACUACGUGCCAGCAGCCGCGGUAAUACGUAGGUGGCGAGCGUUAUCCGGAUUUACUGGGCGUAAAGGGAGCGUAGGCGGAUUUUUAAGUGGGAUGUGAAAUACCCGGGCUCAACCUGGGUGCUGCAUUCCAAACUGGAAAUCUAGAGUGCAGGAGGGGAAAGUGGAAUUCCUAGUGUAGCGGUGAAAUGCGUAGAUAUCGGGAAGAACACCAAUGGCGAAGGCAGGUCUCUGGGCCGUUACUGACGCUGAGGAGCGAAAGCGUGGGGAGCGAACAGGAUUAGAUACCCCGGUAGUCCUGGCCGUAAACGAUGGGUACUAGGUGUAGGAGGUAUCGACCCCUUCUGUGCCGGAGUUAACGCAAUAAGUACCCCGCCUGGGGAGUACGACCGCAAGGUUGAAACUCAAAGGAAUUGACGGGGGCCCGCACAAGCAGCGGAGCAUGUGGUUUAAUUCGAAGCAACGCGAAGAACCUUACCUAGACUUGACAUCUCCUGAAUUACCAUGUAAUGUGGGAAGUCCCUUCGGGGACAGGAAGACAGGUGGUGCAUGGUUGUCGUCAGCUCGUGCCGGGAGAUGUUGGGUUAAGUCCCGCAACGAGCGCAACCCCUAUUGUUAGUUGCUACCAUUAAGUUGAGCACUCUAGCGAGACUGCCCGGGUUAACCGGGGGGAAGGUGGGGAUGACGUCAAAUCAUCAUGCCCCUUAUGUCUAGGGCUACACACGUGCUACAAUGGCAAGUACAGAGAGAUGCGAUACCGCGAGGUGGAGCUAAACUUCAAAACUUGUCUCAGUUCGGAUUGUAGGCUGAAACUCGCCUACAUGAAGCUGGAGUUACUAGUAAUCGUGAAUCAGCAUGUCGCGGUGAAUACGUUCCCGGGCCUUGCACACACCGCCCGUCA
This 1375-nucleotide ribosomal RNA is filed under the name human gut metagenome. RNAcentral's name for it is "bacterial SSU rRNA". It matches the Rfam family "Bacterial small subunit ribosomal RNA". The record is from RNAcentral.